This 253-nucleotide unclassified non-coding RNA is filed under the name uncultured Pirellulaceae bacterium. RNAcentral describes it as "contains 16S-23S intergenic spacer region". It matches the Rfam family "Bacterial small subunit ribosomal RNA", at positions 524 to 776 of the family's 1533-position model. The record is from RNAcentral. Lineage: Bacteria; Pseudomonadati; Planctomycetota; Planctomycetia; Pirellulales; Pirellulaceae.
GACGAACCGUCCAAACGUUAUUCGGAAUUACUGGGCUUAAAGGGUGCGUAGGCGGUGCGGAAAGUUGGGUGUGAAAUCCCUCGGCUCAACCGAGGAACUGCGCUCAAAACUACCGUGCUUGAGGGAGACAGAGGUGAGCGAAACUAAGGGUGGAGCGGUGAAAUGCGUUGAUAUCCUUAGGAACACCGGUGGCGAAAGCGGCUCACUGGGUCUCUUCUGACGCUGAGGCACGAAAGCUAGGGGAGCGAACGGG